AGAAGCAGAUCGAGCUCUGCGCGACCCAGAGCACCACGCGCGACGCCGCGUCCCUCCGCCUCCGUCAGGCCAUGUUCCUUCCUAUCUCCAACGGAGGAGAGAUAAUCGAAGAAGGAAAGGCCGACAGCUCCUGCAUGACUCCGACGACUUCGCAGCUUCGGUCCGGCGUCCUCCGGCCACCGUUUGGGCCGGUUUUGGGUGUUCUUUAUGUUCUUCGACGUCGAGACUGACUUGGCUUUCUUGGCUCGAUUUCUUCCUUCCUUAUGUCCUGUGGUUGAGCUUGAUGUGGCUUAGUAGCUGAAUUACAAGGUUCCUUAAUUAAAGUGAAGGUAGCAGAGAGUUUCUAGCCCAUCAAUUCGUUGGAAAGGUCUCCUGCUAAUUCAGAUUUUCAAAAGGGACUCAAGUUACUUGGUGAGCGAAAAAGUGGAAAGCUUGUGACUCGUGGAGUGUGCGAGGAAAACAUUGGAGUCGAGCACUGUGACGUACUUAAGCUGGUGAGGUGCAGUUUGGAGCGUUACACAUUCGCUGCGCCUCGUCGUCUUCGAUAGAUCUGCACCGGUGCCGCAUCCCGCCAACCACCAUGCUCAGAGCUAUAACAGCUGGAAGGUUUGCCAUCAUCGGCGCCGCCGCCUCUGUCCGCCCUAGAUCUCCUGACUACUCUCUUCCCCCUUAUUUCAUUCUUCUGGUUUCGAUUCCAAGCAUUUCGAAGUUUGAACGAGCGGUAAGAUCGAGUUUCACGAUUUAGGAAUUCAGUGUACAGCAGUUUUCGGCCGCUUCUCAGCAGAUUUGGGCUUUGACGCCGUUAUGGAAAAGGUUUGUUUUCUGAUGAUAUAUAAAUUUCAUGUUGGAGUCGAGUCGUUUUGGAGAGGUUGGAGAAUAGUGGUGUGUGGGGCCCACACACAGCCCUUAUGGCGGCACGUGAAGAGGUUUUGGGAGCAAUGAGUUGCUUCAUUAAGUGAUAUUCGUUGAUACGAAUCUAACGACAUAUAAUUUGUCGAAUUUGGUUUUAAUAUGAGCGUGUGGGGAGUUUUCCAAGUUAUAAUUUACGAAAUUGUGAACGUUUAUGAAUGUAUGAAUGUGGCUUUAUUUUCUGAAAUCGUUGAUUGAUGGUCAUGUGUUAAGAAUGUGAUUGUUUUGAUUGAUAAUGAAUAUAGUAGUGUGUUUGAUGGAUGAAAGUU
This is a long non-coding RNA of Argentina anserina (silverweed cinquefoil), 1178 nucleotides long. RefSeq lists it as uncharacterized. The transcript is spliced from 3 exons. The record is from RefSeq and is a predicted model, not a curated record. Lineage: Eukaryota; Viridiplantae; Streptophyta; Magnoliopsida; Rosales; Rosaceae.